Molecule: ribosomal RNA, 689 nt
Filed under: uncultured bacterium
Lineage: Bacteria
Description: bacterial SSU rRNA
Rfam family: Bacterial small subunit ribosomal RNA
Source: RNAcentral
CAGUCGAACGAAGCUUGAAUUCAGAUUUCUUCGGAAUGAAGAAUGAUAUGACUGAGUGGCGGACGGGUGAGUAACGCGUGAGCAACCUGCCCUUCGGAGGGGGAUAGUGUCUGGAAACGGACAGUAAUACCGCAUAACGUAUUUUUACCGCAUGAUAGAAAUACCAAAACUGAGGUGCCGAAGGAUGGGCUCGCGUUGGAUUAGAUAGUUGGUGGGGUAACGGCCUACCAAGUCAACGAUCCAUAGCCGGACUGAGAGGUUGAACGGCCACAUUGGGACUGAGACACGGCCCAGACUCCUACGGGAGGCAGCAGUGGGGAAUAUUGCACAAUGGGGGAAACCCUGAUGCAGCAACGCCGCGUGAAGGAAGACGGUUUUCGGAUUGUAAACUUCUGUUCUUAGUGAAGAAAAAUGACGGUAGCUAAGGAGCAAGCCACGGCUAACUACGUGCCAGCAGCCGCGGUAAUACGUAGGUGGCAAGCGUUGUCCGGAAUUACUGGGUGUAAAGGGAGCGCAGGCGGAAAGCCAAGUCAGCUGUGAAAACUACGGGCUUAACUUGUAGACUGCAGUUGAAACUGGUUUUCUUGAGUGAAGUAGAGGUUGGCGGAAUUCCGAGUGUAGCGGUGAAAUGCGUAGAUAUUCGGAGGAACACCGGUGGCGAAGGCGGCCAACUGGGCUUUAACUGACGC